Gallus gallus (chicken) is the source of this 3793-nucleotide long non-coding RNA. Lineage: Eukaryota; Metazoa; Chordata; Aves; Galliformes; Phasianidae. The record is from Ensembl.
CUUCCUAGCAAUGAGACCGCAGCAAAAAGGUUUAAUGUGAGAAUUCACUGAUAAAUGCACCCUCUUGUUCUGCUUCCUGGGCGAGGGGAGGAGCUGGAAUGAACUUGGCAAAUGAGAAACACGUGCUUCUAUCAGGCGAGGCACGUUUGGGUUGCAGUGGGAGCUGAAAGCGUUUGCUUUGUGCCAAGCAGGCUGCUGAAUGGAAGCUUUCCAGCAGUGGCAGUUUAUCAGCUGCUGGUGGAGGUAAUUCUGCUUCUCUAUAGCUCUGGCAGGCUGUCCUGCUCCUUUCUGUAAGCGGAGGAAACGCUGAAUGGGAGUGUAAAUGAAGGUGAAAGGGAACAAAACAUUGCAUGCAUUUUGCAGCUGUCUUGCUGAAAGCUAAUCUCUCCCAGGCUGACAGCAGUGUGAGGAGCAGAGGGGAGAGGCAGUGUGCCGUGCUGAUAAAGUUUCCUUGGUCAGCUGAGUUUUGCUGCUGGUCCUUUGGUGCCUGGCUGCAAAAAGGGCCCUCCCCAUCUUUCCUACGUGCUCAGCUUCCUUCUGGCUGAGCCUUGCUGCUUCCUCUAUUCGUUUCUGUAAUUCACUCCCACUCUUUACUACUUUGCAGGAGGUGGUAGAGCAGAACAUAGGGAAGGACGGCCCAUCUCCAAGCACCUGAGGCACGUCCUAUUGGUCUUGCUUUAAAGAGAGCCCAUUCCACGUAGCCUGAUGCUCAAAGAGAAGCUUUGCAUCAAGUGCUGCUCCACGACUUCUCCCAGUCAUUACCUGGAAGCUGCAUCCUUCAUUAAUCCCAUGCAUGGCAACGAGACGUCUGCUCACGGCUUCCCCCAGCGUGCCUUCCUGAUGUGCUGCUGCAGCAGGAGAGAAAGUUUUGGUGGCGCUGACGCUGGGAGGUGACAGGAGAAGAGGUGUGCUCAGCCUUUUGCACUGCACGGGAUGCAUCUGUGUGUGCACGGGGGGGCACACGGGUUGGUCAGCACAGUGUGUGUGCCCAGUGCAUUUUUCCACGCCACGCUGACGUGGAGCCUCCUCACCUCCAUCCACAUCCAUCUGUUGUUCCCCUCCGUCAGCGACUUUGCGAGAUGAUUGAUCUCAGGCUUAGGUCAUUUUUCAAGUUGCAGAUCUUGUCAAUCUGUCUGGCUCCACCUACAUGCAGUGAUUCAGCUCCUGAUGUGCUGAAAUAUUCCCCUAAGCCUUCCCACACACCACCGAGGGCUUUUUUUAUAGUCCUUCUCCAGGCUGCACCACCUCUCCCGCGCUGUGCUCAAAGCGUGUGUUCUUUGCAUGAUGUUUGCAUGAUUCCUUUUGCUCGGAGAGCAGUGCAGAAAGUCGAGUUAGAGCUCCUGAAGAGUUAGGAGAGCCACUGCAAAACACGCUCCCCACCUAAAGGCUGGAUCCCGUGUAUCACAUUUGGCUAAUGUGCUGUGAUUAAAGGAACUGGAGACAAGCGUGGGGCUUUCCCCCCCUCCCCGCCCCGUCCCUGUACCUUCAGGUAUUCUCUCUUUAGGACUUGGUCUUUGUAACAGUUAAUAUUCUCGGUAGGGUGUUGCAAGUUCUGCAUUUGCACACUUGACCUGAAAUAGAAGUGGCUGUCACAGAAUUAUGGAGGGAGUUACACUCGCGUGGCUACGGUGGUAAUAAUAACUUUGCUGUAGUUAUAUUGAUCUAUUUCCACAUCCAGAAAACGGCUUAAUGUGCUCUUACACCUCUGCUUUGCCUUCAGUACAGCGUUCUUAACUCCCUGCCUGUGUGCAGGGGGUGGCUUUGGGUGACAGCCAUGCUCUGAGGAUGCUCAGCUGAGGACGGUGCCAGCACAGUGCUGAGCCCUCUUUGCACAGCGACUGCAGACAGCAGAGGGCUGUGCUGGAGGCACAGCUGAGAGGUGUGAGACCCACAGCAGCUCUUGGGGGCAGCUCCCCAACUUGGGGCUGCUUGGCAAAUGGCUGCAGAGCAGCAGCAGAGGGAAUUGGGAGCGAGCCCUGAUAGGAAAUGGGGAAGCCGUAAGCAAGCAUUGUGCAGGUGGGCUUGGAAGCAGCAGUGCCAGCCUUCUCCUUUCAGUUGUGUUCGGGGAAGUUGGAUCUUAGAAUCACAGCAUCAUUAGGACUGGAAAAGACCUCUAAGAUGACCAAACCCACCCCACAGUGCCCACCGACUGCCCCCGGGUGCCACUCCUCCACUGUUCUUCAUUGUGGCGAUGGAGUUUUUGGUAGGCAAGUGGAGUUGUGCUAAAGAAUGCGUCUAAUUUAUGUAAUCCGUGUUCUGUUAAUGAAGCCGAGUGUUUUAAGGACUUGCUAAUUACACAGGUUAAAAAAGGAGGUAACUUAGGGUCACGAGUGAAAUUAAGAAGCGAAGGAAAGAAGAAAAAGCCUGAGCUGCCUGUGCUGAAAAUGGAACAGAGCACAGGCAUAACAUCUAGAAACCAGAUUUGCCGAAAGAAAAGCUUGAAAUAAGAGCUGGCACUUCCCUGGGUGUUGUGGGACGUGACGCAGUGACUUCCCAAAAGGGCUGAGAGCGCAGCGUGGGCAAAAGUGACAGCGUUUGGAGCUGCUGUUGCAGUUGCUGGGGUGACUUCGGGAGCCCAUGCACAGCAUUCCUUAUGGAGCUUCGGGAUGGCAUCGGCUCAGGCUGCACAGAGCCACAAAGGAUGGGGAGGACCUCAGAGAGCACCAACCCACCCCACUGUGUCCCCACGGGCCACAUCUGCACUGUUCUUGGCCGCCUCUGGGAGUUUUUGGGGGGGCUUUUUUAUGCCUAUCUGGAAAUAGGAGAAGCGGGGAAUGGAGAGGUUGCACCGUUCCGUUGCAAGUAAUGGAAAAGCCACUAUUUUUAGUGGUUGGAUGGGGGUGAUUCAGCUCACCGAACGAAAUAUUCGGGGAUGUGGGAGGAGGAGACGUCUCGCAGUCAGAUCUGCUUUUGCCACAUCUGCCCUCUGCAGAGAGCUGCAGCAGCUGUGAGCUGCUCCCAUCGGCCCCACAGCCCUCAGCAGCUCAUGGCAUGGGAUGGGGGGGUGCUGUGGGCACAGGGCAGGUGGGGCUGAGCGCAGACUGAUGGUGAAAUGGUGGUGGGAAGGAGCAGAGCAGAGUGCAGAAGCAGCAGCUCAGAGCUCAGCACCUCCAUGUCCAAAGGUAACCGAGAGGAGAGGAGCAAGCAAGGCUUGCACGAAGCAUUCCAGCAACUGGAGAACGUUCCUCUUAGCUGCCAACCGAACGGAAUGGAAAGAAGAAGGCGGUUCCUGACGGCUCUUAUCUCGGUGGAGAAACGAUGGAGAAGUUUAAGGGGAUCGUCGCAAGGAUGGGCUGAAAGUCCCUCCCCGUGGAUCAGAGCUCGGGAGCACAAGGGCAGAGCUGGGGGUGGUGGUUUGACCCGCAGGAGUUAAUGUUUAGUGGGAUGUGUGCAGGGCAAACAGGGAGGGGGGGACCUGGGGUGGGGGUUUCUGGGCCAGGCACGGAGGGGUCUUGCAGUGGAAAUACAAUCCCGUAGGGCUGAACGGGGGGCGGGGUGAGAGAACGGUGUGGAAAAUGGCAAAAAUAAAGCUUGAGAAUGGGGCCUGUGGACUUUGAGCAGGAUGGGGUGGGUAUGGGAGGCAACGGGUGAGCCGAGAGCUGAUCUCCGUAGCCUUAGGGUCCCGAGGCAGACCUGGGUUAGCUCUCAGCCGGCUCCAUCCUACAGCUGCCCCUCCCCCAUCCCAUUAACCCCCCCCACGCUCCGCGCUCGCUCCCAUCCCGCUUCCCGCCAGGAUGGGGGGAGUGGGCGUGGUCGCGGAACUAGAUGGGCGGGGCUUGGCCCGGUAGCCACG